GACUAAACUGUGUUAGUAAUGUGAUUGAUAUAGUUUGUGGUGUUGUUUGAUGUGUCACUGAGACUUAUUGUUUGUUUGUCUUUUUAAUUUGUUACUUGUACUGUUGAGAUUACAUAAAUUAUAUUAAGGUUGUUGAGAGUACCUUUUGUUUCUGAAUAUUUUUUUCCAGUUUAGUUGUGUAAGUUAUGUGUAUCCGCCUUUGUGUUUGUUGGGAUUGUCUCUUGUAUCUCUUGGUGUGGUUGUGUUUGUUUUUCUUUUAUUUGAUGAGUAAUAUGUAAACAAAAAUCAUUGUUAGUUGUAUUUAUCAGAGUUUGUAACUUACUCUGCUUUUUUGUUUAGGUAAUUUCACUGAUCUUGGUUGUCGUCUUUGUCUUCUUCGUAAGCAUAUGCGAAAGUAAGUUUGUAAAUUGUUAAAUAGCUGGUCGUGUAGUUUGUAUUUGUUUAGCUGGCUCAAUGUAUGUGUCAUUGAGUUUUAGUUAAGUUGGUUGGUUUGGUAUAUUUGUUUUGAAGUUUAUUUGUAAGAUUAAACAAAAAUAGAAGUGAUCAUUAAUGAUUCGUCUUUUUUGGGAUUCUAGUUUUUGGUGUUUUGAUUGUUUGCGUUAUUGUGGUUUCUUUUAAACUGUAAAAUAAAGAUUUGUGUAAAAUUAGAUUGAUAAGUAAGGGAGAUAAAUAGACGACCACAAAUCUUGGGUAAGAAAUAUUUUUGAUUAUUGAUGUUAGCACAAUAUAGAUAGUAAUAUAAAGGGAAUUAUGUGUUGAUUGUUUCUUACGGAUCAAUGAGGAGAUGGAUAACGACUCGAGUUGUUUCUUUUGUGAGGUCAGAGCCUUGGACAGAACGGAUUUGCCCAACAACAUUUGCGAGUUUAAAUAUCAGUUAUGAUA
RNAcentral lists this long non-coding RNA (882 nucleotides) under Brassica napus (rape). Its description in RNAcentral is "long non-coding RNA (BNAP_LNC018675)". The record is from RNAcentral. Lineage: Eukaryota; Viridiplantae; Streptophyta; Magnoliopsida; Brassicales; Brassicaceae.